Suncus etruscus (white-toothed pygmy shrew) is the source of this 273-nucleotide long non-coding RNA. RefSeq lists it as uncharacterized. The transcript is spliced from 3 exons. The record is from RefSeq and is a predicted model, not a curated record. NCBI's taxonomy places the organism in Eukaryota, Metazoa, Chordata, Mammalia, Eulipotyphla, Soricidae.
GUUUAAAUAAAAAAAAAGUAGCAAAAACAUGGAGUUCCUUUCUCUCCACAUCCCCGCCAACACUGUUUAUUCUCAUUCUUUGUGAUGUGUGCCAUUCUCUGUGGUGUGAGGUGGUAUCUCAUAGUUGUUUUGAUUUGCAUUUCCCUGAUGAUUAAUGAUGUGGACCAUUUUUUCAUGUGUCUUUUGGCCAUUUGUAUUUCUUCUUUGUCAAAGUAGUCUGUUCAUUUCUUCUCCCCAUUUUUUGAUGGGAUUAGAUGUUUUUUUCUUGUAAAG